AUUGAACGCUGGCGGCAGGCCUAACACAUGCAAGUCGAGCGGUAGAGAGAAGCUUGCUUCUCUUGAGAGCGGCGGACGGGUGAGUAAUGCCUAGGAAUCUGCCUGGUAGUGGGGGAUAACGUUCGGAAACGGACGCUAAUACCGCAUACGUCCUACGGGAGAAAGCAGGGGACCUUCGGGCCUUGCGCUAUCAGAUGAGCCUAGGUCGGAUUAGCUAGUUGGUGAGGUAAUGGCUCACCAAGGCGACGAUCCGUAACUGGUCUGAGAGGAUGAUCAGUCACACUGGAACUGAGACACGGUCCAGACUCCUACGGGAGGCAGCAGUGGGGAAUAUUGGACAAUGGGCGAAAGCCUGAUCCAGCCAUGCCGCGUGUGUGAAGAAGGUCUUCGGAUUGUAAAGCACUUUAAGUUGGGAGGAAGGGCAGUAAGUUAAUACCUUGCUGUUUUGACGUUACCGACAGAAUAAGCACCGGCUAACUCUGUGC
This 485-nucleotide ribosomal RNA is filed under the name uncultured bacterium. RNAcentral's name for it is "bacterial SSU rRNA". It matches the Rfam family "Bacterial small subunit ribosomal RNA", at positions 30 to 508 of the family's 1533-position model. The record is from RNAcentral.